GGGUUAGUUGCGGUGGUGAAGGCACGACGGUGACGGUGACAUCACCGUCGCUCUGUUCCUCCGUCUUCUCCGGCGACAUCACAGUUGCUCCGCUCCUCCGUCUUCUCCAGCGACAUCACAUACCGAAGGUCCUCCGUCUUCUCCAGCGACAUCACAUACCGAAGGUCCUCAAUUCAACGUUGAGCGGUUGUGGAUGGGGUGGUGAGUUUAUGGUGGUGGUUGCUGAUUUGGGUGAGCUGUUUUUAAAUCUCCUGCAUCUUUGGGUUCGAGGACUGCUCUUAGCAGAACAAGAUUUGGGCUUAGGCGAUGAACAAUUUGAUGUGACCCCAUCCCGAUUCGCCUAAUUUAAGGCCAGCGCAGGAGAUUGGUGAGCCGACUCCUUCAAAUUAGCUUCCAAAUUAACCUGAGACAAAUUUCGAGGUGACGGAUUCGCAGCAGAUUUGAGCCGCAAAUCACCCAUAAGAGGUUCGAUUGGAGCUAAUACUUCAUUCUGUGAUAUCAAAUUAGGAGAUUGACCAUUUG
RNAcentral lists this long non-coding RNA (522 nucleotides) under Helianthus annuus (common sunflower). The record is from RNAcentral. Lineage: Eukaryota; Viridiplantae; Streptophyta; Magnoliopsida; Asterales; Asteraceae.